GUGGGGUAAUUUUCCGCAAUGGGCGAAAGCCUGACGGAGCAAUGCCGCGUGGUGGUGGAAGGCCUACGGGUCGUCAACUUCUUUUCUCGGAGAAGAAACAAUGACGGUAUCUGAGGAAUAAGCAUCGGCUAACUCUGUGCCAG
RNAcentral lists this ribosomal RNA (143 nucleotides) under uncultured bacterium. RNAcentral describes it as "partial 16S rRNA". It matches the Rfam family "Bacterial small subunit ribosomal RNA", at positions 353 to 511 of the family's 1533-position model. The record is from RNAcentral.